Molecule: ribosomal RNA, 225 nt
Filed under: Triticum aestivum (bread wheat)
Lineage: Eukaryota; Viridiplantae; Streptophyta; Magnoliopsida; Poales; Poaceae
Description: partial small subunit ribosomal RNA
Source: RNAcentral
AUGAACGAUACCCUAUGUGCUCCCUUCUCGGAGGAGGAGGUAUCAAAUGACCUCUUUCAAAUCAGUCCGCUUAAAGCAGCAGGGACGGACGGCCUCCCGGCGAGGUUCUUUCAACAAAACUGGGCCGUGCUGAAAUCUGAAAUCAUAGCUGCUGUGCUGGAGUUCUUUAAGUCAGGAGAUAUUCCGGACGGGGUGAACGACACGGCUAUCGUUCUUAUCCCGUAA